Molecule: long non-coding RNA, 1088 nt
Filed under: Nicotiana benthamiana
Lineage: Eukaryota; Viridiplantae; Streptophyta; Magnoliopsida; Solanales; Solanaceae
Description: long non-coding RNA (NBEN_LNC023948)
Source: RNAcentral
UGUAACCCAAGAUGUCUACCUACUCUAUAUAUACACAAUACACUCAUGGGUCGGGUCGGGUGAUCCGGCCCAAAAUUAAAUAGAUGUGGGCUCAGAUAUCCACGGUCCAGCAGCAUUGAUCAUCAUAGCCCAUUACAGGUAUACCAUGAGUAUACAGUAAAUAUACAAUGAAUAUACAAUGAUUUACAAUGAAUAUGUCACUUAUCCUUGGGCUCAGAUACACAGUCCAGAAUAGGUAAUCAUCAUAGCUCAUUACAAGGUAUACCAUGGGUAUACAGUAAAUAUACAAUGAGUAUACAAUGAAUAUACAAGGCUAUACAAGUCUAUGCAAGUCUAUGUCACGUAUAAUCUCUUAUCUCAACACCCCCCCUCAAGUUGGAGGGGGAGACCACCUGCAACUUGAGCAACAAGGGAUGAAGCACAGUGUCAGGCAAAGGCUUGAAUAAGGCCAUUCUGGAGCUGAUCACAUACAAAGUGACAGUCCACUUCAAUAUGUUUGGUCCGUUCAUGAAAAACAGGAUUCUUAGCUAUGUGAAUAGCAGCGUGGCUGUCACAAUAUACAGAAAAAGGAAGAGAAACAGAAACCCCAAGGUCUUGAAAUAAACGAGACAACCAAGACAAUUCUGCAACAACCUUACUGAGGGCCCUGUAUUCAGCUUUAGCAGAAGAUAAAGAAACCACUGGCUGUUUCUUAGACUUCCAACUAACCAGGCAGCCACCCAGAAUGAUACAGAAUCUAUCACUGGUUGUUUCUUAGACUUCCAACUAACCAGGCAGCCACCCAGAAUGAUACAGAAUCCAGUAACAGAUCUUCGAGUAUCAGGGAAUGCAGCCCAGUCACUAUCAGAAUAACCAAUAACAGAGAAAUCAUUGCAGUCAGAAUAUAAGAGGCCCAUAGAAGGAGUACCUUUAAGGUAUCUAAAUACAUGAAGGGCAGCAGUCAUAUGUGGGAGUCGGGGGCAUUUGAGAAACUGACUCAGAUGUUGCAUAGCAAAACAGAUGUCAGGCCUAGUAUGAGUCAGAAAUAAGAGUUUACCAACAAGACUCCUAAACUGAUCAGGAGAAGGCAAAAGGUCACCAAAAUCAGC